UCCAUUAAGCCUUUUUUCAACUUUUGACCUCGGAUCAGGUAGGGAUACCCGCUGAACUUAAGCAUAUCAAUAA
RNAcentral lists this ribosomal RNA (73 nucleotides) under Alternaria alternata. RNAcentral describes it as "partial 28S ribosomal RNA". The record is from RNAcentral. Lineage: Eukaryota; Fungi; Ascomycota; Dothideomycetes; Pleosporales; Pleosporaceae.